RNAcentral lists this long non-coding RNA (1032 nucleotides) under Struthio camelus australis. RNAcentral's name for it is "lncRNA (ENSSCUG00000013845.1)". The record is from RNAcentral. Lineage: Eukaryota; Metazoa; Chordata; Aves; Struthioniformes; Struthionidae.
GGAAAGGCACCCAAGGGAGCUGGGGUGUUUGGGAACAGAGGCUGCAGGCACAGGGCAGCCUCUCCCACCAAAAAAAGAUUGGUUGUUGAGCCUCGGCGGCUGCUGUCUCGGGGCAGCCUCUCCCACCCACUAGCAACACCUCCUGGUGCCUGCUUGUGUCUUUGACUUAAAGUGAGGGUGCUCCUGUGCCCCCCACCCACUGACCUGAGGGUGCUGGGUCCCAUUGAGUCGCCCAGUUCCUCCACCUGGGACUUGCCAUGAGCCGGGUGCCUGUGGGGAGAGGGUGGCAGCGGGAGCCUCAUCACUAGUGGUUUCGUGACAAGAAGCUGAGAAGUCCCUGGGCAGUAACUAUUUUUGCAUGAAAUGGUAUUUAUCGCUUUCCUGCUGCUGCUUUUCUUGGGCAGCUCAGCUGUAAAUCAGAGCAGGCUCAGACUCUGUGGCCGGCCUGCGUAAGGAGGAGGCUUGCCACGGGAGCAGAAGGAAAGGGCUAGUCAGGCAAAAGGAUGCGUGUUUACUGGAGACUUCCUUUGCAGACAUUGUCUAUACAGAGACGAUGCUGUCUGGACUCUGAUCAAAUAACUCUGGAGACAGAUGAGCCUUCUGGUCUUUUUUUUACAGUAGUUGAAGCUUCCUCUGUUUUUUCACUAGGAUUCCUGACUCCAGGAAGUGGGCAGGGAAGCUGUCUUCCUUGCAGGUCCUUCAACCAUGGUGCAACGAGUCCAUAAAUGCCUAUCUGGUGCUGGCUGAAGGCUGUGACACCCCUGGCUGAGCUCAAGCGGCAGCCCCAAGCGCCCGCGCAGGGCGGGGAGCAGAGCCGGGCUUGCCUCUUGCCCCCAGUGCUGUGCACCACCCAGCUCACUGUUGUGCCAAAUGGAAAACCCAGCUCCAGCCUGCGCCCUGCCCUGGGAAUAAGUGACCUCAGGUAGCUUCCAUUAGUGGGUCUCUCCCUCUUUGUCUCUUACUGCCUUAUAAACAUGCAUUAUGCACAACCUAUUAAAGCUGGAGCAGUACUUAGCGUGCAGCUUACUACUU